RNAcentral lists this ribosomal RNA (253 nucleotides) under uncultured bacterium. RNAcentral describes it as "partial 16S ribosomal RNA". It matches the Rfam family "Bacterial small subunit ribosomal RNA", at positions 524 to 776 of the family's 1533-position model. The record is from RNAcentral.
UACGUAGGUGGCAAGCGUUGUCCGGAAUUAUUGGGCGUAAAGAGCGCGCAGGCGGUCGAUCAAGUCGAGUGUGAAAGCCCCCGGCUCAACUGGGGAGGGUCAUUCGAUACUGAUCGACUCGAAGGCAGGAGAGGGUAGUGGAAUUCCCGGUGUAGUGGUGAAAUGCGUAGAUAUCGGGAGGAACACCAGUGGCGAAGGCGACUACCUGGCCUGUUCUUGACGCUGAGGCGCGAAAGCUAGGGGAGCAAACGGG